Long non-coding RNA from Daktulosphaira vitifoliae (grape phylloxera), 2231 nucleotides. RefSeq lists it as uncharacterized. The transcript is spliced from 4 exons. Lineage: Eukaryota; Metazoa; Arthropoda; Insecta; Hemiptera; Phylloxeridae. The record is from RefSeq and is a predicted model, not a curated record.
UUUAAAAUGGUUAAAAUAUCCAAUACAUAAAUUUUUAUGAAUUUACGUACUAUAAUUUCAAAAUAUCUAGUUUUACAAACUUGAUUUUUAAAAAUUAAGUGUUCUCGUCAAGAACCUAAUCUUAGACUAUAGUAUAAAAUACAAAAACUGAUUUUAUUCAAUGUUCACAUUUUUAGUUAAUUAUACGUCCGUCAGAUUCUAUACUAUAGGACCUUACUAAUAUAGUAAAGAACGAUUUAAUAGAUAAUGAGAAAAGUUGCCUAAAUGUUCUUCGUUGUAAAAAAUACAAUAAGGAGAAGAAUUAAGAGAUAAAAAAAAAGAAAAAGCUGGUAAAAGAUUGUGACCAAAUCUAAGAUGAUAAAAUUUCGGUGAUAGCUGAGAAAAAGUGAGACGGAAAUAAAGCAAAAUGUACCACACAAUACAAAAUUGCAUUUUAUAUCACAUUUGUUGUUGACGUUUAAUUGUAAGAAAAAUGAAAAGUAUCUAAACUUUCUAAUGCAAUGCCAUUUUCUGUGAUAUUUAUGGGAUGAGAGCUUUAUUACACACAUGCCAACUAACAGUAUGGUGUAUUCUAUAAUGUUCUUGUAGAAAAGUUCUCGUGAUUAAAAGACGUUAUUAUUUCCAAAAGGUUUCUUGUCUAAAAUAAUAUCAAUUAUAGGAAGAAUCGUUCAGACGAGAAAAAAUUAUUUCUAAGAUUAUGAAUCUCAUUUUUGUUUAUUCACUAUAAUAAGAUUCAGCAGAAUAUCCAAAGAAGGUUAAAGCCCUUUCAAUGAGUACAUUAUACUGGAAUUUUAUUACAGAUACACUAUAUUAAUUCAUCAAUUAUAAUACUGACAAAACUAACAAAUGCCUGCGACUUACGUUAAUAAAUCGUAACUCAUAAUUUUACAAAGUAUAUUAACACUAUUUUUUCAACUAUAAUAGUUGUUUAUUGGUAAGUAAACAUAAAGUAAAUAAAUUAUUAUAGAUGAAUAGUAUACAAAUCGUUUUGACAUUUUAAAUAACGUUGAUAUACUUUUUAUAUUUAAGAUUAAGAUAAACACAUUGCGUUUAAUUAUUGAAAUUAAAGUGAAAAGAAUGAAAAAUAUAACUUAUAUAUGAGAAGUUGAGCGCAACAGUGGCCUAUGCCAUCAAACAGUUAAUGUGUGUGAUACAUCUUUUAAAAUUAUUACAAGCAUAUACAAUUUAUUAAUGCAACAACAUAAAUAGUGUUGCUAUCUAGUGUAAAAUUAAAAAAACUAAAAUAGACCGUUGUUGCAUUAAAAUAUUUUCUAUUCUAAACAAAAUUAUUUCAUCAACUCAAUUUUUAACAUUUUGAGGGUUAGGCCACUGUUGCGCUCAACCCUUCAUAUAUCUUCUCAGUAAAUAGUGAUUAUAAAAAUAAUUAAAUAGAAAUAAUUAUUAAUUUAUGUGUAAUACAUGUGUAAUAUAUUAUAAUUAGACAGUAUGUGUUUCUUAAAUAUUUUUCUAAAUUAUUCAUUUUAAUUUUUUAGUUGAAAAAAAUAAUGUUUUUCUAAGAAUAUGAAUAUAAUGUAUAAUUGGAAGUGUUUAUUUUAAUCGAAAAGAUUAAAUAAAAGGCCAUUAGUAUGAACGCAAAUAGGGUAGCCCACUAUUAACCUAAAUUAUGAUAGUAAUGAGUAUAUUACAGUAUUAGUGUACAUGGUAUUAAGUAAGUAAGGAAGCAGGUCAAAUGUUACCUACAAUUAAAACAUUUCUAGAAACAUUAUUAAGUUACAAACUUAAUAAAUAUAAAAGUGGGUUUUCAAAAUAUUAAUUUAUUGUACAAAUUAAAAUUUUUAAUAACUAUAGGAAUUAAUCCAAUUGUCAGCAGCUCCUAAUAUCUACAAGCAAUAUAAUUUUACUGAUAUAUUGUCCUGAACUAUUAUACUUUUCUUUGAAUAGAACGAUUCGUUAUUGGACAUAGAAUUCACAACUGAAAUUAAAAUAAUAACAUGAACAUAUUUUUUUAUUAAUUAUAUUAUAUCAAAAUACAUUUUCAUUGGGAGUAGAUAAAAAUUCUAUAUUUAUAAUCGAUCACUUCACUUUAGGCAUGACGUGCCUUGGCGGCAAAAACAGGCAUCUAAGCAAUUAUAUCACAGAGAACAGUAAUAUACACAAAUCAAUAUACAAAUUGUUUAUCAUUAAAUAUGAAAGCUCGAGUAAGAAGCUUUUAAUAUCUUCUAAAAGAUUUAGUUAAAUUUCUAAUUUUUUAAAUUCUUCCAUGAAUAGUU